This 429-nucleotide ribosomal RNA is filed under the name Chloroflexota bacterium. RNAcentral's name for it is "Chloroflexi bacterium partial 16S ribosomal RNA". It matches the Rfam family "Bacterial small subunit ribosomal RNA", at positions 355 to 776 of the family's 1533-position model. Lineage: Bacteria; Bacillati; Chloroflexota. The record is from RNAcentral.
UGGGGAAUAUUGCACAAUGGGCGCAAGCCUGAUGCAGCCAUGCCGCGUGUGUGAAGAAGGCCUUCGGGUUGUAAAGCACUUUCAGCGGGGAGGAAGGCGAUAAGGUUAAUAACCUUGGCGAUUGACGUUACCUGCAGAAGAAGCACCGGCUAACUCCGUGCCAGCAGCCGCGGUAAUACGGAGGGUGCAAGCGUUAAUCGGAAUUACUGGGCGUAAAGCGCACGCAGGCGGUCUGUCAAGUCGGAUGUGAAAUCCCCGGGCUCAACCUGGGAACUGCAUUCGAAACUGGCAGGCUAGAGUCUUGUAGAGGGGGGUAGAAUUCCAGGUGUAGCGGUGAAAUGCGUAGAGAUCUGGAGGAAUACCGGUGGCGAAGGCGGCCCCCUGGACAAAGACUGACGCUCAGGUGCGAAAGCGUGGGGAGCAAACAGG